This is a long non-coding RNA of Gallus gallus (chicken), 4952 nucleotides long. RefSeq lists it as uncharacterized. The transcript has 5 exons. The record is from RefSeq and is a predicted model, not a curated record. Lineage: Eukaryota; Metazoa; Chordata; Aves; Galliformes; Phasianidae.
GGUCUACUCUCGGGUAAGCCCUUCAGCUAUAGGAGGGUUGCUCUUGUCCACUGAGAGAGAAACAUUCUCACUUUCGUUCUGCUUGCUUUUGUAUGGUAAUUUUCACCCAGACAACUGAGUUCCCAGUUCAGCUCUCUUCAGUGCAGAGAAACAGCAGUGGCCAAGAUGGGACUUGCAAAGGAGAAUCUGAGUUGAGAGCUAAAUGGAGCUUUUCAAGUUGCCCUGUGGAUGUGGGACCUGAGCUGAGCUCCACUGUGAGAAGACUCCGGAUUGAGUUAGAGGCACUGUUUCAGAGGUCUAGGAAAUCAACAGAAAAAAGGAAAAUUUCCAAGAUCUGCAUUUUGGUUUUGGUUCCACGACUCCCUCAUUGGAUUUAGCACUGAUUUCAGACCCAUUAUCCCUUCAAGUUAGGCGUUCAGUCCCUAAAGGCAGAAGAAUCUCUGCUGAUUUAUAACCCAGAUUUAUAACCCCCCUGUGGGGCUGUGGACUCACUGUUGGUCCUGAGGCUCAGCAUCAAGCCUACACGGAGCUGGAAAGGAAAGAGGGAGAGUUACCAGGCAGCUCCUUUCCUCAUCCCACGAUGUGUUUUAACAAUUUUCGUCAGUGAAUUUAGAGUAAGAUGCCAUGGCUCAGUAGCACUGAAGAUCUUCUGUUUUUGUAUAGAAGACAUCAUCUUCAGAAGGAAAAUGUGCAGUUAUCCAUAUUGCAUGAUGUUAUAUGUUCAUCAAGUCCUCCACUAGACAAGCAGCCUUGUCAGAAGAGACAUCCUGCAUCCUCACGGUUUAAAAGCCCAUAAAAACCACUCCGGGCUAAUGGAAGCCCAUUGAACAAGCCCCGAAGACACAGAUGUGUUGUGCAGACCAGCCAUCCUGGAGCACCAUCACCAGGCUGCUGGCCAAGUGAAGAAGAAACCAUGAAGAGUGGUAUCAAAGAUAUCAAGGAGAGUGGAAGGUAGCAAUUCUUGUUAUGGAGUGCAGUUCUUUCCUUCCCUGCUUCCUCUACCAAUGUUUCUUCUUCUUUCCCCCUUAUAGUGAACAGAUGGUGACUCUAUUUCCAAGGAAAUCAGAACGAAACAUUUCGUUUUCUGCCAUCCUCACACCUCCUUGGUCUCUAAGUGUUCCCUAAGCCCCUCAGCUCUGUGGUUGGUUUAUCUAUGACCACCAGGGACAGAGAGCCCAAUUUCACACUUCUGGAAGUGCCACAGGAUCAAGAGACAAGAGCUUCUGGCAAGAGUUGAGUGGUCUUUAGAAGUGCUAAUUUUCACGACACUCCUAGGCACAGAGCUUUAUUAAAAUAAUCUUAAAAAUGAGGAUGAGAAAGCAUUUCUUCUCCGCUUUGUUGCUCAGAAGUAUUUUCUCUGUAUGUUGUAGAGGACACCCAGGUAACAGUGCAGAGCCCGAUGUGGAGGAGCUUUUGCUUUUUUCCUCUCCUCUGGAUUCAGCUUGAUUUCCAUGCGUGGCCCUGCUUAUGACAGAUGGGAAGAGGCUUUUGGGUUUCCUACCCUUGCAGAUGGAACCUGAACUGUCAAUUUACUACAGAGCUCACAGUAAUUGCUGGUCUUCUGAAUUGGCAAAUGCUACCCCUUAAUUAAGGCUUUAUUCAUUUUGGUAUAAUCAUGAUUUACAGUUCCCUGUUUCAGACAUAUGAAACAAGCACACUGUGAUUGUUCCAAAAGCCUAAUCACUCUGUAUUUUUGAUAGCACAAGAGACAUGCAAUGCUAUACAAAAUAGCUCACAUACCUAGGCACUUCCCUCAGUGUUCCCACUGAGCUCUAGCGUUUUUAGGCAAAGCCCCUUUCCAGAAUCCUCCCCCGCUCGCUGCUCCACUACCCACGGUUUCUCCUCCAAAACAUUAGUCCUGAGAGAAUAUUUUCCUCCUGCUCCCCUGAAUGCCUUUUAAGCCUGCAUCCCUGACAUCUUUUAUGACCCUUUAGAGAGCCAACAACAAUGUUUGUAGCUGCCACUUCCUGUUAUCAGACAUGCCGUGUCCCAGGGAACUUCUGAGCAAACAGAUUCAUAAAACGGAGCGGUUGGCAGGCACCUUGAGAACUCACCAAACUCAUUCCCAAGGCAUGAUCAACAACAUCUAACUCAUUCCUGGCAGGCCUUUGUCUAAGCUGCCCCUAAAGAUUAAGGUUGGAACUCAAUAACUUCUGUAGCUUCCAAUGUCUAAUGCGGAUAAGUUUUGACAAUCUAUCACAGAUGUAAAAAAGAAAGAAACAGCAUUCAGACUAUAGUUUGCAGUCUAACUAGAAUGCUUGUAAAGCAUAACUGGUGUCAGAUAGAACUAGCAAUAUGAAGAUUGCUGAACAGAAGGAUUCCUCCAACUCAUUAUCCCACCCUAUUGGUCUAAGAAAUGCCUUGGGAAGAAAUUAAGAAUAGCUUGUAGUAAUAUCUCCUCUUAAUACUCCCCCAGCUUCUCACAACAUUUGGGUCAGGGGUUUCUCAACUGGAAGGCAAUAUCUGUACUGAAUAUCACUUUCACAGCCUUGCAUAAUUACCUACCGGUCCCAUGAAAAAUUCAAUAUUCACAGUUUACUGUAACAGGUAGGUCUACUCUAUGUUGUUGAAGAACCACCUCCCUGUGUUUACUUUGAACAUAUUAACCAUUAGCUUUCUAGAUCUUACAUUUGUAGAACUAAUUAGUAACAGAUUUUUACUCACACUUUACAGGCUGCUCAUGUCUUUAUUCAUCUUUAUCAUAUCUACUCUCAGCCAAUUCUCUCCUAGGCUGGAGAGUCUACUCUGUAUGAUAUCUACUUCCUGUGUUUUAUCAUCCUUCCCCCAGCUGUUUCCAAUAUAGCAAUUUGCUUUCUCAGAUUAAAUGACAGAACAUUAACAUUCAAAUAGCUUUUUGGCUAUUUUUGACCACUAAGCAAUUAUUUUCAUAAAUCUACAUAACUCCCAGCUUUCCUACCCAGGUAGUCAGCUCAGAAUCAUUACUUUAUAGAUAAAGUUCUGUUUUUCCUCACAUGCACUGUCUUAUGCACAUCUGCUUUCAGUUUACGAUGCUACUGCAAUGUCUGAUCGCUCUGUUCCCUAAGAUCCUCAGUCUUGGUAGAAUUCCGCUAUUGAUCUCCCUUUACUGCAAGAGUUGCCUUUACAUCUUUCAAUCAACUUAAUGCAAUCUAUGCAGAGAUCUUCCUUCUUAUUCCAUGACUACUUACAUGUUUUUUAAGGGCAUUGGAUGAGAGGCCUUCUUGAAUAUGUGGGAAAGCACAAGUAAGUAGAGAGUGCCAAUCAAAGAUUUCCUUCAUCUGCAUGCUUCUUGUCACCUUACAGGAACUCGAUGGAUUUGUAAAGCUUGACUUCCCUUUAUAAAACUGUACUGUAUUUCUCACAGUGCGUCAUAUUUACCUUUCUCUCUAUCCUGCUGAUUCAUUUUUGCUAAACUUAUCAUAUUUGCCAGGAUCUGAUUUUUCCACUUUCUCUUGGAAUCAUUUUUAAAAGCUGGCAUUGCAUUAGCUACUUUCAGGUGCUCAAAUCUAAGCCUGUUUUAAAUUAGAGGAUGUGCAGUAUACUUAUUUCAGCUGUUUCAUCACUGAGUCCCUUUAGAUGUCUUGGGUGAACACCAUCUGGUUCUAACAUUUUCUUCCUAUACAUUUUGUUUAUUUGCUCCAUUCCUCUUCUAUAGACAGUUGAGCUUGAAAUAGAUCCUCUGAUGAUACCCAUAUGGAAGUGUUAUGCUGCAGGAAACUCUCCAGAGCAGAAUAAAUAAAUAAAUAAAAUCAUUUAUUUUAUUCUGCUACAGUUUUCUGUUUCCUGAGAUCUCCUUUUAUGCUCUGCUUAUCUAUUUGUCCUGACAUUCUCCAUGACAUUCAACUUGCCUUGAAUUCAAGAGGAGCAUACAGUUGCAAAUCACUUCCCAGAUUACUUCUGAAUCAUAAUAUUUUGAUGUAAGUAGAAAGAGUUCCCCUCUUUGAUUUGAGUAUGACUAGGGAUACUCUGGUUUUCAGAUAGAUUCUUCUGUAAGGCAACAGUUAUUUUUCAGCUCAACACCAUUUAUAUAUUCUGCACACCUUCUGAAGGGGUUGGAGAUGUAGGCUCAGACAUAUAUUAUGUUUCAAAAUAUGAGUUUAGAUUGUGCACUUUGAAGUGGAGUCCUUGCUGUUGACUGUUGUAGGUCUGUGCUUACUUUGAACCCUGUAAGUGUUUAGGCUCUUCAAAUAACACAAUUAAAGCAAUCACUUGGUUGCUGAUGUGAAUUUCACGUCUGACGCUUCACACAGACCUGAAAGAAAAAAAAUACUACCCAUUGCCAGCCAGAUAGACAGGUGGAUUGUGUUUGUCCCUGACAAGUUUGUAUUCACAUGGCUUUCUGGCAGACUUACCUUCUUAAUGUGAAUGAAAUUCACGUUCUGAGUAAAAUGAAAUAAAGAAUGGAUGAACAAACUGUUCCUGCAUUCUGAAACCUUCUGCCUGUGCCAAUGACAGAGAGAUUACCCAUCCCUCCACCCCUCUGCUCUCCCUGCCUGCAUCCGUAUCAGUAGACCUUGCUGGCCUUGCUGGUGGUGGAAGACGGACAGUCCAAAAUGAGAAACAUCAGUGUCCUAGUUGACCAACACUAAGUGGUAUCACAGUCACACAGGUGUUUUGGGAAGUUCAGUAAAAAUAGUCAGGAAUGCAAGGCUAACGCAGCAUCAGUCAAGAAAGCACCGGUCAUCAUGCAAAACCUCUUCUAAGCACACAAGACUUCUUGAUGUUGCCAUCAUAAUCUGUAAUUUUUCAGAGACUUUCAAUUCUGAACACAUAGGUGAACUGAAAAUGCUUCAGUUGGCUGAAUGACUAUCGUCACUACAAAUUUUCAAAUAGAUUUUUGUCUUUUUUCACGCUGUAGAUAAUUGAGCUAGUGGAAUCAGCGAUCUAGAAAACUAUCACAAUUCAAUCCCUGGUUCUCUGUUUCUUAGCUCUGUCAUAAACCUUUGUUUCAGAAUAAAUGUUUUCACACCCUU